This 403-nucleotide ribosomal RNA is filed under the name uncultured bacterium. RNAcentral describes it as "partial 16S ribosomal RNA". It matches the Rfam family "Bacterial small subunit ribosomal RNA", at positions 30 to 526 of the family's 1533-position model. The record is from RNAcentral.
AUUGAACGCUGGCGGCAGGCCUAACACAUGCAAGUCGAGCGAGCGGCGGACGGGUGAGUAAUGUAUGGGGACUGCCCGUUAGCGGGGGGUUACUCCUGGAAACGGUAGCUAAUACCGCAUACUAUCGGAUAACUCUUAUGGUAUUAGCUAGUAGGUGAGGUAAUGGCCUACCUAGGCGACGAUUCCUAGCUGGUCUGAGAGGAUGGUCAGCCGCCAUGGGACGUGGACACGGCCCAGGCUCCUACGGAGGCAGCAGUGGGGAAUUGUGGACAAUGGGGGAAACCCUGAUCCAGCCAUCCCGCGUGUAUGAUGAAGGCCUUCGGGUUGUAAAGUACUUUUGGCAGUGAAGCGGUAUCUGCAUAAUAAGCACCGGCUAACUACGUGCCAGCAGCCGCGGUAAUUC